This 252-nucleotide ribosomal RNA is filed under the name uncultured bacterium. Its description in RNAcentral is "partial 16S ribosomal RNA". It matches the Rfam family "Bacterial small subunit ribosomal RNA", at positions 524 to 776 of the family's 1533-position model. The record is from RNAcentral.
UACGGAAGAUGCGAGCGUUAUCCGGAUUUAUUGGGUUUAAGGGGUGCGUAGGCGGGAUGCCAAGUCAGCGGUAAAAAUGCGGUGCUCAACGCCGUCGAGCCGUUGAAACUGGCGUUCUUGAGUGGGCGAGAAGUAUGCGGAAUGCGUGGUGUAGCGGUGAAAUGCAUAGAUAUCACGCAGAACUCCGAUUGCGAAGGCAGCAUACCGGCGCCCUACUGACGCUGAGGCACGAAAGCGUGGGUAUCGAACAGG